GACGCGCCAGACUCAAAAUCUGGUAUGGGUAACCAUGUGCGAGUUCGAUUCUCGCUCCCGGCACCA
Molecule: transfer RNA, 66 nt
Filed under: Gammaproteobacteria bacterium
Lineage: Bacteria; Pseudomonadati; Pseudomonadota; Gammaproteobacteria
Description: tRNA-OTHER
Rfam family: tRNA
About the family: Transfer RNA (tRNA) molecules are approximately 80 nucleotides in length.
Source: RNAcentral